GCCGGCGUCCGCCGGCCGUGCCGCCGGGAUGAGCAGCUCCGAGCGCACGGUGUCCUCGCUGACGGGCUCCGUGGACACUGCGGGCAGAGUUAGUUAGAAAAUUCCUGGGUGUCAGGAGAAAAUCCUGGAGUUGGCCAUGUGUGAGCUGCAGGGCCUGGGAACAGAAGGCUUUCAGCAGAGGCAGAAGAAAACCAGUGCCUUGAAGUGUUCAGCUUUCGAGGGGAUGGGACACGUCCCUGUGAGGGGAUCCGUGGCUGAAGCCCCCAGAUCAGUGGCAUGUUCAGUCAGGCUGGACAGGGGAGCCACGAGGGAUGGAGACCCCCAUCAGUGCUGGGAUGGACACAGCACGCCUGGCAGCAGGGGGGCUCUGGCUGUGCCCAUGGCACAGCAGGGACAGCUGCAGGGAUUCACCACUCUUAAGGCCCAAAACCUGCUUUGCUUGAAAGGAAGAGCCCGUCCUUGCCACCCCUCCUCCAUGGCCCAUGGGGAGAGCCUUACAGUAUGUGGCAGCUAAGUCACAUCUUAAAAAAAUCUUUAAUGAAAAGUGAAGUGUUAUUAUUUACAGGUUUAUGAACUACUGGAGGUUCUCUCCAUGUACAUCUGCAGGCACAGAAGGUGCACAAUGCCCAGUGUCCUGGGAUGAAGGAGCAAAACCAUAUCCAGGGUUCUCUGUUAGAAAUUCCUUAUUUUAAAUAAAUGAAUUGCUGAAAAGAAAAACCAAUAAAGAAGAAUUGCAGUUGUUUUCCUUUUCCCACAUGAGAAUUCCUGCCAGUCUCACCUGUCUUCUACAGGGCUGGAAAAUGGCCUUUCAAAGAGUGGUGUUAGUACCAUGGGCCAAUGCUGUGGCUGUUUUCAGGCUGAUAUUUACUUGCUGAUUGAGAGGCCAUUUGUCUAAAUAUAUCCCAACCCCAGGUGUACUCAGAAGGUUCAGUAUUAACCUGAGAGUCCAGUGGUGAAUCACUUACUGAAGUUGGAUGAAUUAGGGUAGAAAGAAAGGGGGAGGGAGAAGUAAGGGAAAUAAAUCCCCCGUGUUAGCCACAGUCAUUAUGCUUAUGUUCCCUGGACUGGGAUUUUGCUGCUUUUUAAUUCAGCCCAGUUUGUGCCUGCUUGUAAAUGUAAUGGUCACUAUUGUGACAGCAGAUGUCCACUCAGUUCAGCUGCUCUUUAACAUCAUGUGGCAUCCUGGCUGAAGCCAAAAUGCAGAACAAGCUGUCUAAAACUCAAGCUGUCAAAAUAAAUCUCCACAGACACAGUGUCUAUUGGAAGUGGAGUUUAAGAGACUGCACUGAUUGCCAAAGCAAAUGCCAAGAGAUCACCCACUGUGUGCUGCCAGCUAUGGCUGGGGAGUCAAACUCCAUCUUGAAAUGACAUUUCUUCAUGUAAGAAAUCAGGUCUGGGCUGAUGCUUUUCAAUUAGUCCCUCUGCCACGGCUUUCAGUGUUAGAAAUCACUGCUGGGCAGGACAUUAGCACUGAAGGCUACAGUUGGGUGUUUCAGACAGUGCAUGCAUCAAAAAGUGCUUAAAAAAUGACUUGACGUAAUACGGUUUAGUGGGCAUGGCAAUAUCCUGCCCAAGAUUGUUAAGAGGGAGUGCAAUAGCAGAUGUUUGCUUUGGUUCUUCAGCACAUCUUGAGAAUUUACUUUAAUCAAGAAAGAAAUGGUUUCCUCCUCACCCAGAGGUAAGGAUGAAACUAGGUGCCUAACAGCCCUUCCAUGACAAACAGAAAAUCCAGUGAGGUACAUCUUUACAUGUCUAAUACCUCUGAAAAACUGACCCAGAGCACUGAAGUCACCUCAGCUUCCUUAAUGGUUUGAAAUUUCCCUCAUAAUUUAGGGAAAUUAUGGGUUUCUCCUCUGACCAAUGCCAGACAAGACCGAGCUUGUGAAGUUUGUCCCUAUUGCCCAUUGUGUCUGAACCACCAGUGCAGUAGGGAAAGGCUUGUCUUGAACAGCAGCAGCUGAGAUGAUGAACUGCAAUGCUUCAGCUAUGAGACAGUGAGAGAGGGCCCAGGAAUGAGAGAAGUCACGUUUAUUCUAUUGGGGAUCACUAUUUAUUCAAAGUACAAAAAAUAUCCAGUAGAGUCUGUAAAAUUGAACACAUCCGCAGUGAAUGUCCCAGGAUGAUCCCUCCAUGGAGCACAAAGAGGGCCAGUGCUGGCCCAGCUGAAAAGUGAAUACUUCUGGUUCCCUGCCAGCUCCUGACUUCCAGGAAAGUCCUUGGGCAGUAGGUGCACUCUGUUCAACACAGGAAAACUUCAGGAUAGCCUUGAUUCUCUGGGAGCUUACCCAUCCAGGACCAUGGUUCUGCACAGCCCAGUGCUCCUGCUGCAUAUGUGGGCAGGACCCAGGCUUACAUACAGCAGUCCUUGCAACUCAGCACAAAAACUGCUACAUUUUUUUCCUGACUCUAAUAUAAUCAGGCUGGGACAAAACAUAAUAAUUUUUAUUAAACUUUAUAAAUAGGGAAUAUAUCUAUUACAUACCAUCUGUCAUCAGUUAGUUUUUUGCAUUAAAAUAUAUAAUUUUACAAAACUUUACUUGUAAACCUAAAAAUCUGCACAGUCCAGUGAUAGAAGCAGCAUUAAUUAUUUUAUAUUAUUUUAUACAGGGAUUGACAAAUUCUCCCAAUACAAGAGAAGUUCCUUAUCAUUAAUGCAAGGAAUAUAGGGAGUCCUAUCAGAAACUCUUGUGAUGUGUCCCUGUUGCUGGUAUUUAUAUUGAGAUCAAAUUACUUGCUUUUUCCAUCAGGCCAAGUAAUCUGACAUAAGUGGAACCCUUCUGUACAAGGAGGUCUUGCAAAAUCCAUACAGGGCUCCAUUCCAGCCAUUGAAUUUUCUUAAGCCACACUGUACAUACAGAUCCAGAAUGUGAGUGGAGUAAAAGUUCCAAUAAAUUUACAAACACAUUUCAGGACAAUUCAGCAAGCUUUUUCCGUUAGCAUUUCAACUUGGCUGGAUCUUUCCUAUUCACUGUUUGGCAGAACAUAUAUAAUUUUCCUCAUGAAUAAUAUUUAUUACAAAGAGAAAAAUGUUAUAUACAGUAUUACUACAUGAGGGACUUGAGUGGAAAAUUACACAUCUGGGAAUUAGUUUGUGAUAAGCACUCAGAUUGAAAUUCCAGUGAAGCUGCGGAACUUAAAUGACUGAUCAGUUCACCCUUACUAUGAAAGUACAUUUAGAUUAAUAUUAGACAGGUUUUUUUUCAGGGUCCUUGAAUUUGUAAAAUGUUUGAAAGCCAAAAAGACUGCACUGAGCCUCUGCUACCACUGAGACCAUAGUCAGGAAUGGCUGACGUUGCAUGGCCAGUGGUCUGACACCACAUCACUUUCUCCUGCUCUGCACAGAGCAACUUUUUUCCAUGACCAGCUCACAAGUACCUGGCUGAUCAUGUGGGCCUCCACCAUCAGUUUUGCCAGGAGCACAGGCAGCAGGGACAGAGCUGGUUUGGGAGAUUUUUGCAAAACUGUCUAAUGUAGGUUUUCCAGUAUGAUUGCAAAGCAUUACACCACCACACACAAUGUGCAAAGUAGGGUAUUGUAUGAUUGUAAUCUAGCACAGCUGGUAUAAAACAUUCUACUAAUUACAAUACAGAUACAAAAUGCCAGCUAGGAUUGAUACUGAAAGACCUUUGCUAUUGUUCCAUAUGUUUAGAACAGAGUUUAGGGCCAAAAUGCAAUCAGCAAAUGCUGUCUAUUAUGCAUUCUUUGGAGUGGAUUGGGUUUUGUUUCUUCAUUUCUAUCUCCUUUGCACAUUCCUCUGAAUUCAGAGCAUAGAGUUGCUGUACAUCUCUGUUUAGUGAUCUAUUAAGCAUCAAGGUGCAUGUUUCAUACAAACAUGGAGGAUGUAAAAGGUGAGACUCUCAAUCUUCACCUUCAUAAGUGUUUUUAUUAAAAUUACUAGCUACUCCCCUGGCUUGUCAACCAAAAGAACAUCAAAAGAGCUGAGAAUAAAAUAUGUAGCAUAUUGCUGAGCAGGACCUAAACAGUACCAAGUGGAGCACACUGAGAAAUGUUUCUUAAUGUCCUUACACUUAGUGUGCACACUUCAUCUGACAGGGAAAAAAAAAAUACCUAAAAAAAAGUGGUCCAGGAGAACGAGGCCAUUGUCAGAGAAGCAUUUGACUGGGUGCAAAGCAGCCAACCCCAAGUGGUGUGAGCAACAUGUUUCUGUAAAGCUUGGGCACCAUCUACCCUCUUGCAUUUUCUUCCAGAAGAUGUCAGAGACAGAAGCAUGGACGGGGUGGCCUGCAGUGCUGGAGCAGAGUUGCAGAUACAGCCACACCCUUCCCACUGGGCGAGCUGACAGCCAGCCUAGCUACUGUCAGCAGAAGUACUCAUUGGGCUGUCCCUCUAUCUUUGGUAUGGCUUCCGAGUCCACGCUGGAGCGGGCAGACAGCAGCCUGUUGGACUCGUCAGGGGUGUGCCUGGUCAGGUAUUCUCCUUCCACGCCCUUGGCCUUGGCCCCGGGGGACAGGCUUUCGAAGGUGACGUACGAUUCCUGCACGUCCUUGGGCUUUCGCACAAAGCAUUUUUUGCAGCGCCGUUUCAGCGCCCCGCAGCAGACCACCAGGGUCAGAGGGACAGCAAUGACACAGGCCACGCUGAUGACAACCACAUUGAUGAGCUUCUGCGUCCCUCCUGCGCUGACAACUUCGUCUGUGGAAAAUAUGAUGCACUGCUCCUUCCUGGGGAUCAGCCCUUUCACACAGACGCACACGAUGUAUUUGGUCUUUGGCAGCAGCCCAUAAAGAGUGACCUUGGUCUUCCCUGGCUCCACGUUGAUCCGCCGCAUGUCCCUCUCCCCAAAGACAGCAUACAGGACGCUGAACACCGUGGUGUUCUUUGCCAUAGGCGCCUUCCAGGCCAGGGUGAUGCUCUGGUCGGUGUCCCCUAUGACCCUGACAGACCUCACCAUCCUCUCUGGCUCCUGCUGGCCCGUGGUGGGGCUCACCAGCAGGUUCUGGGGGUUGCUGUCUUGUGCCGCGUCCGGGAGGAGGACGCUGUCCCCAGUGCCCGCCCCGGCCCCCAGCGUGGGCACGGUGGAGGUGGUGAUAACGUACCUGGCCACCAGUUUGUCAUUGUAGGCAGCUGCCUCCAUCCCGCUGGCCUUGCCAUUCCAUGUGCCUUUGGCACUAGAGCUGGGGUCAUCCGUGCUCUCUGAGUCUGUGAUGAUGAGCGAGAUGAAGGCCUCUGUUGCCCCCAGGAAAUUCUUUGCUUUACAGAUGUACUCUCCGGAGUCAAGGUAAGAGACUACAGGCAGGCCCAGGAUAGACCAGCUCAUCCCAUCACUGGAAAUCUCUUGGUGAACUGCAAGGCAGGAAAAAUGUUAAAUAGGCAAUAAUAAAAUGAAUUAAUUCCAUGUUUGUAAAAUACUAAGACUCCAUCACCAAAUAUCUGAUCAAUAAAGUAUAUGACAAAGAAUCAUCA
Long non-coding RNA from Passer domesticus (house sparrow), 5424 nucleotides. RefSeq lists it as uncharacterized. The record is from RefSeq and is a predicted model, not a curated record. The transcript is spliced from 2 exons. Lineage: Eukaryota; Metazoa; Chordata; Aves; Passeriformes; Passeridae.